Long non-coding RNA from Mauremys reevesii (Reeves's turtle), 361 nucleotides. RefSeq lists it as uncharacterized. NCBI's taxonomy places the organism in Eukaryota, Metazoa, Chordata, Testudines, Geoemydidae. The record is from RefSeq and is a predicted model, not a curated record. The transcript has 4 exons.
UGUGGAUAUUUGGAUGAAAUAGAGAACCCAAGUCAGUGAUGCUCUCAUCAUAUGCAUGACAGUCAUCUGCAGUGGAACAUUUUGGAUCCUAGGGCUGCCAUACCUGAAAAGGUAUUCCCAAAAAGCUACGUCAAAAUUUGCAUCUAGGAGGCUGACCAAUAAUGUACAUUUUAACUCACUGUGUCAAAUAAAACUUUGUGCCAUAUGGCUGAUUAGAGAUAUUCUUUCAAUUUUUCUUCUUUUCUAAACAGCUGGGCGAGUAACAACAAGGAAAAGACAGUUAGCAGCUGCACACUGUUAUCAUUACUUUGAUACUGCUUAAAGGAAUCUAAACCUUCCACAGACCUUUCGUUGAACAGAG